UCCCCUGACGUGGGCUGGGGCACGUCACCGCCGAAUGGCAGCCUCCAGAAAGCCACCGCGAGUAAGACGGCAGAAUGCCUCCAAAGGUGACUUCAGAGCUGCUUCGGCAGCUGAGACAAGCCAUGAGGAACUCUGAGUAUGUGACGGAACCGAUCCAGGCCUACAUCAUCCCAUCGGGAGAUGCUCAUCAGGUCUGAAGGACACACCAACUCAGGAAGACUGGCUGGUGAGUGUGCUUCCUGAAGGAUCCAGGGUUGGUGUGGACCCCUUGAUCAUUCCUACAGAUUAUUGGAAGAAAAUGGCCAAAGUUCUGAGAAGUGCCGGCCACCACCUCAUUCCUGUCAAGGAGAACCUCGUUGACAAAAUCUGGACAGACCGUCCUGAGCGCCCUUGCAAGCCUCUCCUCACACUGGGCCUGGAUUACACAGGCAUCUCCUGGAAGGACAAGGUUGCAGACCUUCGGUUGAAAAUGGCUGAGAGGAACGUCAUGUGGUUUGUGGUCACUGCCUUGGAUGAGAUUGCGUGGCUAUUUAAUCUCCGAGGAUCAGAUGUGGAGCACAAUCCAGUAUUUUUCUCCUACGCAAUCAUAGGACUAGAGACGAUCAUGCUCUUCAUUGAUGGUGACCGCAUAGACGCCCCCAGUGUGAAGGAGCACCUGCUUCUUGACUUGGGUCUGGAGGCCGAAUACAGGAUCCAGGUGCAUCCCUACAAGUCCAUCCUGAGCGAGCUCAAGGCCCUGUGUGCUGACCUCUCCCCAAGGGAGAAGGUGUGGGUCAGUGACAAGGCCAGCUAUGCUGUGAGCGAGACCAUCCCCAAG
This 817-nucleotide small RNA is filed under the name Pan troglodytes (chimpanzee). RNAcentral's name for it is "processed transcript". The record is from RNAcentral. Lineage: Eukaryota; Metazoa; Chordata; Mammalia; Primates; Hominidae.